UGGGGAAUAUUGGACAAUGGGGGAAACCCUGAUCCAGCAAUGCCGCGUGAGUGAUGAAGGCCUUCGGGUUGUAAAGCUCUUUUGUCAGGGACGAUGAUGACGGUACCUGACGAAUAAGCUCCGGCUAACUUCGUGCCAGCAGCCGCGGUAAUACGAGGGGAGCUAGCGUUGUUCGGAAUUACUGGGCGUAAAGGGCGCGUAGGCGGCCUUGUAAGUCAGAUGUGAAAGCCCCGGGCUUAACCUGGGAGGUGCAUUUGAAACUGCAAGGCUUGAGAUCGAGAGAGGAAAGUGGAAUUACGAGUGUAGAGGUGAAAUUCGUAGAUAUUCGUAAGAACACCAGUGGCGAAGGCGACUUUCUGGCUCGAUACUGACGCUAAGGCGCGAAAGCGUGGGGAGCAAACA
Molecule: ribosomal RNA, 402 nt
Filed under: uncultured bacterium
Lineage: Bacteria
Description: bacterial SSU rRNA
Rfam family: Bacterial small subunit ribosomal RNA
Source: RNAcentral